RNAcentral lists this ribosomal RNA (253 nucleotides) under uncultured bacterium. RNAcentral describes it as "partial 16S ribosomal RNA". It matches the Rfam family "Bacterial small subunit ribosomal RNA", at positions 524 to 776 of the family's 1533-position model. The record is from RNAcentral.
UACGUAGGGGGCUAGCGUUGCUCGGAUUUACUGGGCGUAAAGGGCGCGUAGGCGGUUCGUACAGUCAGACGUGAAAUUCCUGGGCUCAACCUGGGGGCUGCGUUUGAUACGUGCGGGCUUGAGUGCGGAAGAGGGUCGUGGAAUUCCCAGUGUAGAGGUGAAAUUCGUAGAUAUUGGGAAGAACACCGGUGGCGAAGGCGGCGACCUGGUCCGAUACUGACGCUGAGGCGCGAAAGCGUGGGGAGCAAACAGG